AGGGAGAAUAUAUUGAACACAAUAUAGAGAACCUUGAACAAAUGGUCCUCAUUGGAAGGUGGCACACACGUAAGGUCGGUCCUGAGGUUUUUUGUGUCUUGGGCAAACUAAAAAAAAUUACGUCCUCAUAAUUAUUGAAGUAUUGUUGGCCUUGAAAUUCUUUGUUGCAAAACUCAUUAAUAAUCCAUUCACAAUCAAGAUUAUUUAAAACAACAAUAACA
This 221-nucleotide long non-coding RNA is filed under the name Glycine max (soybean). RNAcentral's name for it is "long non-coding RNA (GMAX_LNC000499)". The record is from RNAcentral. Lineage: Eukaryota; Viridiplantae; Streptophyta; Magnoliopsida; Fabales; Fabaceae.